RNAcentral lists this ribosomal RNA (406 nucleotides) under uncultured bacterium. Its description in RNAcentral is "partial 16S ribosomal RNA". It matches the Rfam family "Bacterial small subunit ribosomal RNA", at positions 30 to 526 of the family's 1533-position model. The record is from RNAcentral.
AUUGAACGCUGGCGGCAGGCUUAACACAUGCAAGUCGAACGAGCGGCGGACGGGUGAGUAAUGUCUGGGAAACUGCCUGAUGGAGGGGGAUAACUACUGGAAACGGUAGCUAAUACCGCAUACCAUCGGAUGUGCCCAGAUGGGAUUAGCUAGGAGGUGGGGUAAUGGCUCACCUAGGCGACGAUCCCUAGCUGGUCUGAGAGGAUGACCAGCCACACUGGAACUGAGACACGGUCCAGACUCCUACGGGAGGCAGCAGUGGGGAAUAUUGCACAAUGGGCGCAAGCCUGAUGCAGCCAUGCCGCGUGUGUGAAGAAGGCCUUCGGGUUGUAAAGCACUUUCAGCGGGGAGGCGUUACUCGCAGAAGAAGCACCGGCUAACUCCGUGCCAGCAGCCGCGGUAAUAC